CAUGCACUGGUGGGGUCCCUCGGCCUGGCCUGCAGGGAUCGGGCCAAAACCAGCUCUCCGAUAGCAGGCCAGGCCGAGGGACCCCACUGGUGCACA
RNAcentral lists this microRNA precursor (96 nucleotides) under Myotis brandtii (Brandt's bat). RNAcentral describes it as "mir-9193 microRNA precursor family". It matches the Rfam family "mir-9193 microRNA precursor family". Lineage: Eukaryota; Metazoa; Chordata; Mammalia; Chiroptera; Vespertilionidae. The record is from Rfam by way of RNAcentral.